UUUCUAACGUUUUCCUAAGUUCUGCAUUUUCUAGUUUUAAGGACUCACAAGCAGUACAAGUAGAGCAAUUAUCAACACAAGAGGCUUCAUGCAUAGUCUUGAUGACUUGUCUAAGUUCUACACUAUCAUUUAACAAAAAUUGAUUUUCAUUUGCAAGAUUCUCGUUAUCACGAGACAGAUUUUCAAUACCUUUUUGAGCUAAAGAAAGACGUUCUUCAAAGUCCUUGUCUUUUAAAAGGAGUUGUUUUUGAAAAUCCUCUUCUUGUAGAGAAAGAGUUCUUU
This 282-nucleotide long non-coding RNA is filed under the name Nicotiana benthamiana. RNAcentral describes it as "long non-coding RNA (NBEN_LNC005822)". The record is from RNAcentral. Lineage: Eukaryota; Viridiplantae; Streptophyta; Magnoliopsida; Solanales; Solanaceae.